UGAUAACAUGGAUAUGGAUUUUGACAUUGGUAGUGAGAUGGAAAAUGAAGGUUCUGACAACUAUGACAUUGAAACAGAUUCUUCCCAAAGUGAAGAGCUAGAAUCUGAAGAUGAAAUAAACCAGUCAAAAAGGGUGAACAAAGAAGAAAGCAACCUCAGGAAAUAACUAAAGUUUAUUGUUACCUUGCCACAGCUGUUUAACCUGUUUAAAGUAUGCCCAUCAUGUGGU
This is a long non-coding RNA of Xenia sp. Carnegie-2017, 229 nucleotides long. RefSeq lists it as uncharacterized. The transcript is spliced from 3 exons. Lineage: Eukaryota; Metazoa; Cnidaria; Anthozoa; Malacalcyonacea; Xeniidae. The record is from RefSeq and is a predicted model, not a curated record.